Molecule: ribosomal RNA, 264 nt
Filed under: uncultured archaeon
Lineage: Archaea
Description: partial 16S ribosomal RNA
Rfam family: Archaeal small subunit ribosomal RNA
Source: RNAcentral
ACACGACUACAUUAGAUACCCCUGUAGUCCUAGCCGUAAACGAUACUCGCUAGGUGUCGGCCACGGUGCGACCGUUGUCGGUGCCGUAGGGAAGCCGUGAAGCGAGCCACCUGGGAAGUACGGCCGCAAGGCUGAAACUUAAAGGAAUUGGCGGGGAGCACAACAACGGGUGGAGCUUGCGGUUUAAUUGGACUCAACGCCGGAAAACUCAUCGGGAGCGACAGCAGUAUGAUUGCCAGGUUGAUGACCUUGCUUGACAAGCUG